Molecule: transfer RNA, 73 nt
Filed under: Loxodonta africana (African savanna elephant)
Lineage: Eukaryota; Metazoa; Chordata; Mammalia; Proboscidea; Elephantidae
Rfam family: tRNA
About the family: Transfer RNA (tRNA) molecules are approximately 80 nucleotides in length. Their secondary structure includes four short double-helical elements and three loops (D, anti-codon, and T loops). Further hydrogen bonds mediate the characteristic L-shaped molecular structure. tRNAs have two regions of fundamental functional importance: the anti-codon, which is responsible for specific mRNA codon recognition, and the 3' end, to which the tRNAs corresponding amino acid is attached (by aminoacyl-tRNA synthetases). tRNAs cope with the degeneracy of the genetic code in two manners: having more than one tRNA (with a specific anti-codon) for a particular amino acid; and 'wobble' base-pairing, i.e. permitting non-standard base-pairing at the 3rd anti-codon position.
Source: Rfam by way of RNAcentral
GCGAUGGUGGUUCAGUGGUAGAGAUUCUUUGCCUUCCAUGCAGGAGAUCCAGGUUCUAUUCCUGGCUAAUGCA